Molecule: small RNA, 190 nt
Filed under: pig gut metagenome
Description: M-box riboswitch (ykoK leader)
Rfam family: M-box riboswitch aptamer (ykoK leader) (bases 44-190)
About the family: M-box riboswitch, also know as ykoK leader is described as a metaloregulatory RNA that sense divalent metals and function as a genetic control element of genes related to divalent metal transport in bacteria.
Source: RNAcentral
AAAUCGGUAGGUAAGGCUACCAAAGGGAUAGGUUAUCCGCAAUUUGCAUUUAUGUUUUUUGCAGAUAUAAUGGAUACGGACUGCUGCCGUGAAAAGUGGAGACACUGUAAGCAGGUCAACAGGUUACAUCGAAUUCAAGGUGUAAUUUAACGCAGUUUCAUUGCCCUUUGAUGCUAAAGCUUGAACGGAA